UACGGGGGGGGCAAGCGUUGUUCGGAAUUACUGGGCGUAAAGGGCUCGUAGGUGGCCAACUAAGUCAUACGUGAAAUCCCUCAGCUUAACUGGGGAACUGCGCCUGAUACUGGUUGGCUUGAGUGCAGGAGAGGAACGCGGAAUUCCAGGUGUAGCGGUGAAAUGCGUAGAUAUCUGGAGGAACACCGGUGGCGAAGGCGGCGUUCUGGACUGCAACUGACACUGAGGAACGAAAGCCAGGGGAGCAAACGGG
RNAcentral lists this ribosomal RNA (253 nucleotides) under uncultured bacterium. RNAcentral describes it as "partial 16S ribosomal RNA". It matches the Rfam family "Bacterial small subunit ribosomal RNA", at positions 524 to 776 of the family's 1533-position model. The record is from RNAcentral.